This 492-nucleotide ribosomal RNA is filed under the name uncultured bacterium. RNAcentral describes it as "partial 16S ribosomal RNA". It matches the Rfam family "Bacterial small subunit ribosomal RNA", at positions 29 to 507 of the family's 1533-position model. The record is from RNAcentral.
AGUGAACGCUGGCGGUAGGCCUAACACGUGCAAGUCGAACGGCAGCACAGUAAGAGCUUGCUCUUACGGGUGGCGAGUGGCGGACGGGUGAGGAAUACAUCGGAAUCUACUUUUUCGCGGGGGAUAACGUAGGGAAACUUACGCUAAUACCGCAUACGACCUACGGGUGAAAGCAGGGGAUCUUCGGGCCUUGCGCGAUUGAAUGAGCCGAUGUCGGAUUAGCUAGUUGGCGGGGUAAAGGCCCACCAAGGCGACGAUCCGUAGCUGGUCUGAGAGGAUGAUCAGCCACACUGGAACUGAGACACGGUCCAGACUCCUACGGGAGGCAGCAGUGGGGAAUAUUGGACAAUGGGCGCAAGCCUGAUCCAGCCAUACCGCGUGGGUGAAGAAGGCCUUCGGGUUGUAAAGCCCUUUUGUUGGGAAAGAAAAGCAGCAGGUUAAUACCCCGCUGUUCUGACGGUACCCAAAGAAUAAGCACCGGCUAACUUCGUG